AGUUCAUAGUGUGAAUUGAUCCCUAAAGUGUUACCAACAUCAGUUCUUUCUUUCUCCCAAAGAAUGAGAGCAGAUAAAAUAACAUCUCCAGCACCUUCUUCUACAUCUCUGCAAAGUGACCAGUCACUGGAUCGACCGAUACUGUUUAACGAUGGAGCUCUGGGGAAUGAAAGGCAAAGACCAGAUGAAGCCACAUCUCCAGCACCAUCUAAAUCUCUAACAAGUGACAAGUCACUGGAUCGGCCAAUACUAUUUAAAGAUGGUACACAGAGUAUAAGAAGGAGUAAAAGGCUGAGACCAAAUAAAGCAACAUCUUCUGCACCGUCCAGCACAUCUCUGAGAAGUGACCAGUCACUGGAUCGACCGAUACUGUUCAAAGAUGAAGCACCAAGUACAAGGUAGGUUACAGAGUUAUACAUAUUUAAAACACACACACACACACAC
This 444-nucleotide long non-coding RNA is filed under the name Sinocyclocheilus grahami. RNAcentral describes it as "lncRNA (ENSSGRG00000040505.1)". The record is from RNAcentral. Lineage: Eukaryota; Metazoa; Chordata; Actinopteri; Cypriniformes; Cyprinidae.